RNAcentral lists this ribosomal RNA (440 nucleotides) under uncultured bacterium. RNAcentral describes it as "partial 16S ribosomal RNA". It matches the Rfam family "Bacterial small subunit ribosomal RNA", at positions 338 to 795 of the family's 1533-position model. The record is from RNAcentral.
CCUACGGGGGGCAGCAGUGGGGGAUAUUGCACAAUGGGGGAAACCCUGAUGCAGCGACGCCGCGUGGGUGAAGAAGCGCCUCGGCGCGUAAAGCCCUGUCAGCAGGGAAGAAAAUGACGGUACCUGAAGAAGAAGCCCCGGCUAACUACGUGCAAGCAGCCUCGGUAAUACGUAGGGGGCAAGCGUGAUCCGGAUUUCCUGGGUGUAAAGGGGGCGCAGACGGCGAUGCAAGCCAGGAGUGAAAGCCCGGGGCCCAACCCCGGGACUGCGCUUGGAACUGCGUGGCUAGAGUGCAGGAGGGGCAGGCGGAAUUCCUGGUGUAGCGGUGAAAUGCGUAGAUAUCAGGAGGAACACCGGUGGCGAAGGCGGCCUGCUGGACUGCAACUGACGUUGAGGCCCGAAAGCGUGGGGAGCAAACAGGAUUAGAUACCCGAGUAGUC